RNAcentral lists this ribosomal RNA (429 nucleotides) under Chloroflexota bacterium. Its description in RNAcentral is "Chloroflexi bacterium partial 16S ribosomal RNA". It matches the Rfam family "Bacterial small subunit ribosomal RNA", at positions 355 to 776 of the family's 1533-position model. The record is from RNAcentral. Lineage: Bacteria; Bacillati; Chloroflexota.
UAGGGAAUCUUCGGCAAUGGACGAAAGUCUGACCGAGCAACGCCGCGUGAGUGAAGAAGGUUUUCGGAUCGUAAAACUCUGUUGUUAGAGAAGAACAAGGACGUUAGUAACUGAACGUCCCCUGACGGUAUCUAACCAGAAAGCCACGGCUAACUACGUGCCAGCAGCCGCGGUAAUACGUAGGUGGCAAGCGUUGUCCGGAUUUAUUGGGCGUAAAGCGAGCGCAGGCGGUUUCUUAAGUCUGAUGUGAAAGCCCCCGGCUCAACCGGGGAGGGUCAUUGGAAACUGGGAGACUUGAGUGAAGAAGAGGAGAGUGGAAUUCCAUAUGUAGCGGUGAAAUGCGUAGAUAUAUGGAGGAACACCAGUGGCGAAGGCGGCUCUCUGGUCUGUAACUGACGCUGAGGCUCGAAAGCGUGGGGAGCAAACAGG